RNAcentral lists this transfer RNA (59 nucleotides) under Miopithecus ogouensis (Gabon talapoin). Its description in RNAcentral is "tRNA-Ser". The record is from RNAcentral. Lineage: Eukaryota; Metazoa; Chordata; Mammalia; Primates; Cercopithecidae.
GAGAAAACUCGCAAGGACUGCUAAUCCAUGCCACCAUACCUAAAACUAUGGUUUUCUCA